RNAcentral lists this long non-coding RNA (226 nucleotides) under Mytilus galloprovincialis (Mediterranean mussel). Lineage: Eukaryota; Metazoa; Mollusca; Bivalvia; Mytilida; Mytilidae. The record is from RNAcentral.
GUGGAUAUAAGGAAUAAGAAUAAUGUGGAAAUAAGGAAUAAGGAAUGGACAAUAAUGUGGAAAUAAGGAAUAAGGAAUGGACUAUAAGGUUUAAUUAUAUAUACUAGGGACUUGCCAAUUAUGUUUCUCGGCAGUCCCAUUCUUUGUCAAGCCGUGGCCGUACAAUUUUGUACUUUUGCCAAAUAAAAUAUUUCUUACUUUAUAUUUGUAUUUCAUUUGGCCCCAC